AAUACGAAGUGUAGCGAUGAAUUGUUGCCUGUAUUUGGGCACUUGGGCAACAAGGAGCUAAUAGUGAAACCGACAUUUCGGGCA
Molecule: non-coding RNA, 84 nt
Filed under: Dehalococcoidia bacterium
Lineage: Bacteria; Bacillati; Chloroflexota; Dehalococcoidia
Description: c-di-GMP-II sequence
Rfam family: Cyclic di-GMP-II riboswitch aptamer
Source: RNAcentral